Molecule: ribosomal RNA, 472 nt
Filed under: uncultured bacterium
Lineage: Bacteria
Description: bacterial SSU rRNA
Rfam family: Bacterial small subunit ribosomal RNA
Source: RNAcentral
UCGGGAAUUUUGGACAAUGGGCGCAAGCCUGAUCCAGCCAUACCGCGUGAGUGAAGAAGGCCUUCGGGUUGUAAAGCUCUUUCAGACGGAAAGAAACGGUUACGGCUAAUACCCGUGACUAAUGACGGUACCGUAAGAAGAAGCACCGGCUAACUACGUGCCAGCAGCCGCGGUAAUACGUAGGGUGCGAGCGUUAAUCGGAAUUACUGGGCGUAAAGCGUGCGCAGGCGGUUUGGUAAGACAGAUGUGAAAUCCCCGGGCUUAACCUGGGAACUGCAUUUGUGACUGCCAGACUAGAGUGUAGCAGAGGGGGGUAGAAUUCCACGUGUAGCAGUGAAAUGCGUAGAUAUGUGGAGGAAUACCGAUGGCGAAGGCAGCCCCCUGGGCUAACACUGACGCUCAUGCACGAAAGCGUGGGGAGCAAACAGGAUUAGAUACCCUUGUAGUCCCUGAGCGGGCUGGCAAGGCGCAU